UAUGGUUGAAGGUGAGUAAAGGCUCUGGAGGGUGGGGCAGCAUGGCUGGCCGUUGACCUUGUGAUUUCUUUCUAAUUGUGAUGAACCUGAUUCAGAUAUCACGGUUGAUCUGAAUAUGUUUGUGAUCAUAUGAGCUUGAUGAACUUGAUUGCACCCUAAUAAUCUUCCCUGAUCAUUGCUUAAAUGAGACCAGUGUAGAUGAAGGCGAGUAGAGACCCUGGAGAGUGAGGCGGAAUGGGAUAGAUUCAUAUAUCAAUGGGGUUGUGUGCAUAACGAUCUGGGGAACUUUGGCUUGUGGAGGAUUAGACAAGCUUGAAGAACAUGAAUUGGGGCCUGAAAAAUCUUCUUUGAUAAUCAACUUUUUAGCAAAAAAAAUCCAUUUUUGUCAAUUUACCCAUAUUUGGGACCUGACCAUUGGUUGAAGCGCUCCAGGUUGCCUUUCUAGCCGCAGCAGUGGGGCCGAGAGUUGGUGCAGCUUGCGCAGGUGCAGCAUUAUCUGUGUUGACCAAAGAGGAAACGAGGGCAGACCGGUGAGCAUCAUCAUCUCUCAAUCGUGUAUGGCGGCAACUGAUUAAUUCUCUGAUCUAUGGUCAGACAAGCUAACGGAUGAUUUGACGAAUUAAUGGCAGAUUCCACGCGGAGAACUCAAAUCCAGCGCAUCACAGAGGUUUGGUGACAAUCGAUUUUCGUGAUUACCCCGGAAAUAAUUUUCAAUUUAUUUGUAACUUGUUUCAGUGGACGAUCGAUUUCAGAGAACGCUGUGGAAGGAGGAGGUCAGGGUACAGAGGCUGGUGGAGCUUCCUCUGCUCUCCCCCUCGACAAGGUCAAAGCCGCUGCCAUGUCGGGCCUAUCUGCUGCGGCUACGAAGGCGAAGCUAUUCGCGGAUCAGGAGGAGAGGGAGAUCCAGAGAUUAGUGGCGGCGAUCGUUCACCACCAGGUCUGCGUUUCCGAACAUACCUCGUUUUCCCCGAAAUCUCUGGAUCUC
This 985-nucleotide long non-coding RNA is filed under the name Spirodela polyrhiza (greater duckweed). RNAcentral's name for it is "long non-coding RNA (SPOL_LNC002656)". The record is from RNAcentral. Lineage: Eukaryota; Viridiplantae; Streptophyta; Magnoliopsida; Alismatales; Araceae.